Molecule: ribosomal RNA, 422 nt
Filed under: uncultured bacterium
Lineage: Bacteria
Description: bacterial SSU rRNA
Rfam family: Bacterial small subunit ribosomal RNA
Source: RNAcentral
UGAGGAAUAUUGCUCAAUGGCCGCAAGGCUGAAGCAGCAACGCCGCGUGAGGGAUGAAGGUUCUAUGAAUCGUAAACCUCUGUAGAAGUGGAGAAAUGUCCCGAUUUAUCGGGAUUGAUAGUACACUUAAAGUAAGCCCCGGCUAACUACGUGCCAGCAGCCGCGGUAAUACGUAGGGGGCAAGCGUUGUCCGGAAUCACUGGGUGUAAAGGGUGCUCAGGCGGAUUUAUAAGUCACGGGUGAAACCCUGCGGCUUAACCGCAGAACUGCCUAUGAUACUGUAAAUCUAGAGUUCGGGAGAGGGUGAUGGAAUUCUUGGUGUAGCGGUGAAAUGCGUAGAUAUCAAGAAGAACACCAGUUGCGAAGGCGGUCACCUGGCCCGAUACUAACGCUCAAGCACGAAAGCGUGGGGAGCAAACAGG